Molecule: ribosomal RNA, 253 nt
Filed under: uncultured bacterium
Lineage: Bacteria
Description: partial 16S ribosomal RNA
Rfam family: Bacterial small subunit ribosomal RNA
Source: RNAcentral
UACAGAGGUGCCAAGCGUUGUUCGGAUUUAUUGGGCGUAAAGGGUGCGUAGGUGGUGAUACAAGUCGGAUGUGAAAUCCCGGAGCCUAACUCCGGAACUGCAUUCGAAACUGUAUCGCUCGAGGUCUGGAGAGGUGACUGGAAUUCUCGGUGUAGCAGUGAAAUGCGUAGAUAUCGAGAGGAACACCAGAGGCGAAGGCGAGUCACUGGACAGAUUCUGACACUGAGGCACGAAAGCCAGGGGAGCAAACGGG